AGGAUCUAUCUAGAUUGUAUCUAACACCUAGAGGGGGGUGAAUAGGUGUAAUAGCCAAAAACCAUAAAUCUCAAUGCGAUAAAAAUAAAUGCGAAAAAUAAAAAUCACACCGAGAUUUACGUGGAAAACUCCAACUAGGAGUAAAAAAUCACGGGACCAACACGCGAUAACAAUCCACUAAGAAUAAAAGAUUACAAGGUGAUUUACCGAUUCCACGGACUCAAACCUCUUUUUUAUCUUCUCCGGAUCUCGCGCACACCAACAGGUUGUCCACGCCCCACGUCCGAAUCCACGAACGCCACGUCCCGAAUCCACGAAACAUCCACACUUCGAAUCCACGAAGCCUUGAUCACGCCGAAUCCACUACGCCCACUCGAAUCCACGAGCACACUCCGUCCGAAGCAAGAAUACCAAGAUUGAUGAUGAUUUAUUGCUUAGACAAUCAUUAAAGAACCAUAGAAGAUGUUUCUAAGCAAUAGCCGGAUCAAUUCUCCAUGAAGAACAAGAAAUUAGGGUUUCAAGAAUUGAUCCAAUAGAAACUUGUCGUUUGAGAGAAGAAAGAAUGCACCCAAUAAGUUUCUAGGGUUUCAAAAUAAUAUUCUAUAUCUUCAUCUCUUUUAGAAACACCCCUACAUCUUAUCUAUAGGUUUAGAAGACUUAGAAACCGACUAGGAUUGCAAAAAUCCAAUUUCAAAAACUUAUGUCGUCCUCACGGACCGGUCUUCUCAAGGAGACCGGUUUUUGGGAGACCGGUCCCUCGAGUGGGAGACCGGUCCCUCGUUGCGUAGCAGAAAUCAGAAGCUACGGGAACCGGUCUCUCAUUCUAGAGACCGGUCUCUCGCUGCGUGACAGAAAAUCCCAUGUUCGGGAACCGGCCUCCCUUUCCAAAGACUGGUUGCCUCAACAUCCCACGCAGUGAGGACCCUCGGGGACCGGUCCCUGAACCCUGAUGAGGCUUAGUUUCGUCCAGAUUCAUAUUUAAAAACCAUCUUAAGUCUUCCAAACACUUUUAAACAUUUAUAAAUCAUCAUCAAUAGUAUUUAAACUUACCGAGCAUCGUGCAUUCAUAUUUUGAGUCUUCGAGUCUUCGAUCUUCAUCUCUUCUUCUUCUUCAAACAUUCAAGACUCCGACUAAUAUCAUGAAAUAUGCCAACAUAAAAUCCGUAACAAUCUUCCCCUUUGGCAAUUUCGUGACAAAACUAAAAAAUAUAUCAAAAUACUCACAACGCUCAACUCUCCUAACAAAAAAAUGAAAUUCAUUGCCAUCACCAAAACAAUGAACUUCUCGCGUGAAAAAUCCGAAUAAAAUACAAAAUUACAAUUUCGUAACUCCUAAACAAACUCUAUGACUUAAACACAAGGAGUCUUGAAGUCUUCGAGAAUCUGCAGAAAGAAUACUUUCUCCUCGAAAAAAGUUAACAAACAAAGUUAGUAGUAAAUAUGAAAAUCUCUCCCCCUUUGUUCAUGAAAAUCUCAAAUCUCAUAUCUCUCUCCCCCUUUUUGUCAAAAAAUUGCCAAAAGAAAGUACCAAAAACAGAGAGAGUACCAAUAAUGUAAGUGCAUGAAUAGCAUAAAUUCACAUAGACUUCAUUCAAUCCACAUCAAUUUCAUAGAAAUUAAGAAUUUCACUACAAGAUCACCAAGAUGUAGAUAAAAUAUACUAAAAUUUCUUUAUCCAUAUAUACGUCAAAAUCAAGUCAUCAAAAAUAAUCUAAAGGCUCAAAAUCUAUCAAGAUGUAACGAAUUAUAAAGAUGACUUAUGAAGAUUCACCAAAUGACAGAAAUUUGUCGCAUAAACGUUCAAAUUCGAGAUCAAGCAAUAAUGUACCAGGGGUGGCUCUUUGAGCAUCUUUUUACUAAACCACCUUAUUACACCGAAAAUUUUUUAACACAUAAUUUUUUCAACCUUUUCGGUUAAGCAUUCAACAUCCAUGUGGUAGCUUCACACACUUACCGGACGACCGGGAUGGUAGCUCUUUCCUACAUGUGGUGGUAGUUUUCACAUUCCCUUUGGGAUGUAACUCUUUCCACAUCUUUUAAGCACUUGGAGUGUUUCAUUUUUUUCAUUCCUACAUUUAUUAUUAUUUUUUCUAUGUAUGACUCCCCCUUAAUUAUGCAAUCUCUUAUUUGAAAGAAAAUUUGACAAGUUUUAGUCUUUUAGCAAAUUUUUAUUCAUCAAAUUCAACACAUACAACCGAGUUAGAUUAAGUGUCUAAAGAUUAUACAAGAUUACUCAAAUUUGAUGAAUAUAAGAAUAAGAUAUCCUAAAAUAAAUUAUCUUCAUCAAUAGUGAAAAUGAAGUGAAACCGAUAAUUAAUAUGAAAUUAAUUUGAAAUAAAUAAAUGUAAACUAUCAAUGUUCAACGCACUAUUUAAUAUUGUAAUCACCGAAUUAUUCUCAAAAGUCCGAACAUGUAAUGCAAUGAUCAAAAGAUAUGUAAUAAAACCGAUCAUAGCAAAACAUAAAGUCAAAAACAAAUUAAGGCUUAAGACAAGGAAAGAUAUCACCUUUUCAAAUCCAUACUUGUCGGAUUAUUGGUUGUCUUGGCUUGUUGUCUUUAGAUACCACUUGUUUUGACUUUUGAUCCACCCUUGGUCUUCCUAUUGAUUAAUAUUGCUGUUGUAGCUUUGACCUCCGAUUGAUUUGGGGUACUCGACUAGAUUGAUGUUGCUUUUGAAUCCGUAGGGGAUGUCGAGUAGUGGACGAUGCCGCUUGAUGUUUCGUAGUUGCCAAUCGAUGUGUAGACAUUGCCGAUUGUUUUUUCUUUUCCUUAUUUGGGCAAUUCUUUUUGAUGUGUCUUUUGAUGCCACAUUUAUGACACACUUUCUCUUUCGAAGUUGUUGAGACUUUAGAAUUUGACUUUUGAUCCUUAUCAACAUAUAUCCUUUCAUAGCCGAGGCCCAACUUGUUUGUUUGACCUAAUCCGAGCAUAUGAUCUAGUUUCUUUGAUCUGGAAGAAAAUCUUUGAAUAUCGGAUUGGAGUUGAUGAACUUGAUUAGUCAAGGCCUUGUUGGAUUUGUGCGAUUCCUUGAAUUGUUGCUCCAAAAAUCCAACCUUGUCUUUAUAUGAUUUGAUCGUUGAUUUUCCUUCAUCAAGUUUCUCUUGGAGGAUUAAGUUAUUCUUUGAAAUCAAUUCCUUCUCCUCCUCAAGAGCUUUAUUCAUUGUCUUCAAGUUGUUGUUUUCCUCUUCAAAAUCCAACAAACGACGUCUCAACUUCUUAUUAAGUUUGGCCAUCUUUUUCGAAUCGAUAAAAAGUUGAUGAUACGCUUCCGCUAUAUCCUCGUCGUUUGAUUCCUCCUCGCUUUCGUCGUUGUCGCUCGAUGACCCAUGCAAGGAAGGCGAAAUACUAGAGUUAGAAACAAUAGAGGAUAAACAAACAAUGUUAGACGAGGGUAAAGAAGUGUUAGUAAACAAAGCAAGUUAAUUCUUUUCUUCGUCAUUUGAACUUGAUUCACUUGAAGAUGAAUCAUCCCAAGUUUUAGCUUGCAAAGCCUUCUUUGUAUAUGAUUUCUUAGAGGGACAAUCCGUUGUAAUAUGACCGUAGCCUCUACACUUGUAACAUUGGAUUUUCCCUUCAAAAUCAUCUUUUUCUUUCGAAGGCUUUGCAAGGUUUUUAUCCUUAGAUUUUGAAUUAGAAGAAUGCUUAGAAAAGGAUUUAAUCUUCAAAGAUGAAGAAUUGUCCGAAUUGUUCUUCUUUUGGAAAUUUCGGUGAAAUUUCUUCGUGAGGAGCGUUAAUUGAUGUUCGAAGUCAGCAAGCGAAACAUCCCCGUCGGAAUUCGAGUUGUCGUCUUCUUUCUUUGUCGAUUUGAGUGCAACCCCUGUACUUUUAGAAGAAGACUUGGCAAAAGAUUGAUUAGUAGGAAAAGUCAUCUCAUACGUUUGUAGAGCGCCUACUAAUUCUUCGACUUUCAUCUCGUCCGGAUGCUUAACGGUUUCUAUCGCGGCAACCUUUGCCCGAAAGCAUUCCGGAAGAGUUCGAAGAAUUUUUCUUACAACCUUUGAAUCCGGGAUUUUCUUUCCCAAGUUAGCGCAUGUAUUGACUACGUCUUGUAGACGCGUGUAAUACUCCGUAAAGGUUUCAUUUUCUUCCAUAAAAAUCGAAUUAAAUUUGCUUGUUAGCAUUUGUAAUUUUUGAACCUUUACUAAGCUAGUUCCUUCAUGCAUAACUUGUAAAGUAUCCCAAAUCUCCUUGGCAGUUUCACACGCCGAAACACGAGUAAACUCCGUUUGCGAUAAAGCAUUGAAUAAAGCAUUAAUUCCUUUACCGUUAAAUGAAGAUGACUCGUUUUCAUCUUUCGUCCACUUGUUCCGUGGUUUAGGAACGGUAGCAUUAUCGACGACUUCGGUAGGAUGCUUCCAACCGAAUUCUAUAGCUUUCCACACCCGCUCAUCGAUUGCGAUUAGAAAAGCUCUCAUGCGAACUUUCCAAUAGGCAUAAUUCGUGCCAUCGAAGAGUGGUGGUCGAUUAAUAUUACCGCCUUCGGCCAUUAGAUAACAAUAUAUCUAGAUCCCGCUCUAAUACCAAUUGAAAGUUUUGGGGUGCCCAAGGAUCUAUCUAGAUUGUAUCUAACACCUAGAGGGGGGUGAAUAGGUGUAAUAGCCAAAAACCACAAAUCUCAAUGUGAUAAAAAUAAAUGCGAAAAAUAAAAAUCACACCGAGAUUUACGUAGAAAACUCCAACUAGGAGUAAAAAACUACGGGACCAACACGCGAUAACAAUCUACUAAGAAUAAAAGAUUACAAGGUGAUUUACCGAUUCCACGGACUCAAACCUCUCUUUUAUCUUCUCCGGAUCUCGCGCACACCAACGGGUUGUCCACGCCCCACGUCCGAAUCCACGAACGCCACGUCCCGAAUCCACGAAACGUUCACACUUCGAAUCCACGAAGCCUUGAUCACGCCGAAUCCACGACGCCUACUCGAAUCCACGAGCACACUCCGUCCGGAG
This 4948-nucleotide long non-coding RNA is filed under the name Ananas comosus (pineapple). RNAcentral describes it as "long non-coding RNA (ACOM_LNC038313)". The record is from RNAcentral. Lineage: Eukaryota; Viridiplantae; Streptophyta; Magnoliopsida; Poales; Bromeliaceae.